UACGUAGGGUGCAAGCGUUGUCCGGAAUUAUUGGGCGUAAAGCGCACGUAGGCGGCUUUGCAAGUCCCAUGUGAAAGCCCACGGCUUAACCGUGGAAGUGCAUGGGAAACUGCAGAGCUUGAGUACUUAAGAGGAUCGCGGAAUUCCCGGUGUAGAGGUGAAAUUCGUAGAUAUCGGGAGGAACACCAGUGGCGAAGGCGGCGAUCUGGGAAGAUACUGACGCUGAGGAGCGAAAGCGUGGGGAGCGAACAGG
RNAcentral lists this ribosomal RNA (253 nucleotides) under uncultured bacterium. RNAcentral describes it as "partial 16S ribosomal RNA". It matches the Rfam family "Bacterial small subunit ribosomal RNA", at positions 524 to 776 of the family's 1533-position model. The record is from RNAcentral.